ACUAACACUGCAUUAUUUAGUUGUACAACAUGUUAUCUGAAUUAUACGUGAAAGAAUGAACAUUGCAUAUUGUCAUUGUACAACAAGCAUUCAUAUUGUACUGGAGAGGUUUUCUCAUUUUUGACCCUUUUUGGCUCAAUUUAGUUGGCUCUUACAACAUAAAUUUCAUCUGCAUAUACUCCAAAGGUCUCAUUUGAAGCAACUCCAAAUCUCCAUCUUCGUCUCCUGCAACUUAGCUCAAGAUUGAAACUGAGUCUGUUUCAUAGAUGCAACACAAAUAUCGACACUAUGGAGCACAAUUCCAACUACAAAGGAAGAGCAAAAAAAAAGGGCUAUCAGAAAAGGAACAUCAAGCCAAAGUGAUUUUUAUCUGUAUGUACUGUACAACACAAGUUACAUAUACCGUGUCCUCAAAACUCUCAUUUCAAGCAAGCUCUUUCAACUCUAAAUUUGCAUCUGUCUCUUGUAACACAGAUCUUCUCAAAAUUUAAAUUGGUAAAUUAUUCCACCUUCUUUCUGCUUUUCUGUUUCUUCUUUCUUUUUUUAGUGUAUUUUUGUUCAUGGAGUCUUGUUAAACUUUCUUUACAAGAUUUUAUUUAAGGAAAUAAAUCAUUUUCCAUUCACCUUGGAAAACAAGGUAACAUGUGUACUAAGACUAGGACAAUUUUGUCUAUAUUUGGGACAACUGAACUGCUGAUGGUUGACAUAUUGAGUACUUAAGGUGUGAUUUUAAUCAUCUAUUCCUUGAUCUUUAAGAUAUUUCAUAAAACUUUGUGUGGAUCCUCAAUCACCAAUCCUUGCAUCAAUAUGGGUUGUGCUCGGUAAAUGAGAAAUCCAACUUUCCAAACUUAAUCCAUGUUGAUCUUUUGAUUAUUUAUUGUUAAUGAAAUAGAUAAUGUAUAUAGAAUAACUAUCAUUAUAGGUCCUUUUUCAAGAGUUGAACAUAUUGCGAGGAAAAAAUCAUUCUCCUCUUUUUCUUUGUUGAUUGGUUAUAGUUUGUUUGGAGAAUAAGUGAUGAUGAUGUUGAUUGGUUUCCUUUUUAUACUCUAUGAUUUUCUUUGCUUUUUGUCACAAUUUUAUUUCAUUAGCUCACUGUGGGAAUGAUUUGGUUUAGUUGUUUAAGCUGAAGCUCUUUUUUUUAAAGAAGUUAUUAGUUCUAUUGCAAGUAACAAGUAGAUGCAUAAUAGUUACAAAAGCUUAGUUAGCAAAAGAUCAGCGCUCAUUUACAUUUUCUUUAGCUAUAUUUUUAAUCUUAGCGUGUUUGCUUGAUGAAAUGCUUCAGAAUUGCUAGCUUAUAUGCGAGUUUUAUUGUCUGUUUCUUGAUAGAUGAUUGAAAGAUUUACUAUAUAAUUUUUACUUUUACUGUUUUAAAAAAGAUUUUUCAUAUGUUUCUGUUCACGAUUUUUUUUGCCAUUUUAUCCUGAUAAUAGUCCUUGUUAUACUAUUUUGACACGAUAUGAAUCUCUUCUCUGUUUUUCUUGUAUCGUGUGGUAUGUGAGACCUAGUGCAGCUCCUAUGCCUGGAGUUCCCCCGUUGGGUCCCCGAAGAAUAACUGGUCAAGUCUGCCCCCAUCAAUGUAGCCCUGUUGUUGGACGUGUUAGAGGUGAUUAGAGACCACCAAGAAUGAUAGGUGGCUAUGGUAUGUCUAGGGUGAAAGGUGGUGUGUCUGCAUGUGGCUUUGGGACUAGGCUGAAAUUCACUCUUUUCUCACACAAGUAUGUUUCCUGAUUUAUAACAUACUCGAAUUCGCUAUGUUUUCUGUUUGGUGAGGUUUGUUGUUUACUGUUAUGAAGGAAUCAUAAAUCCAACUAUUCAAAAACAUGAGGUAGUUAACUUUUACAGAUCGAUAGGUAGUUGAUAUUCCAAAGCAUCUACUUUUUUUUUCAUUUUUUGUUUGGAGAAUAUACUUUGAAUGGGUCAUUUCCAUGUGAUUUCUUUGGAGAACUUCAAAGUUUCACCUACUUGGAACUGGACAACAGCUAGCUAACUGGACCAAUUCCUUCUGAAUUGGAUAAGAACCAAAAGUAAGUUAAAUGAUAUGUAUAAUAUUCUGGUAACCAAGAUUAAAGCACUGCGACUCUAACAAUUCAUCAACCUUUAAAAUACAUCUAAGUUUAAAAAUAAACACGACACCACAAAUUUGUACCGAUAGCAUUCAAAAUUGUACUACACUAUCGUACCCUCUUCACUAUUAGAUAAACACGUACUACUCUUCCGGUUUUUCAUUAUUUUACUUUGGUCCUUAUAUCAUUUUUUCAUCUAUUCCAUCAUUUUUUGCUUCUCUAUUUGUCAUUCUCCUAUACUCACUUUAGGAAAAGAAGAGACUUUUUGAAAUUGAAGGUAAUUAGAGAAGAGUGAUUCAAGUCCCGCUGGUGCAUCAAUUUGGUGAUGAAAAUUCACAUUUGACUACUGAAUUUGGAGGAAAAUUAGUAUACCUAUCACUACAAAAUGGGUGUUACAUGUAAGAACAAGAAUAAGAAACACUUUCAAGCAGCAGUGUAGAUAGACGUAAAACUCAAUUUUGAAAUUUCUAACACUCAAUGGUGUAUAGUUGACAAGGUAAUCACAUUUUUAAUGAAAAAUUCUAAACACAAUAUAGCUUAUGAACUUCUUAUUCAACAGAAAAAUAAGGAACCCGAUAUAGGUGUUCGUGAUCCUUUAUUCUUGAUACUACUAGCAGUAGCAUCUUCUCUUUUUGUUGGUCACGAGAAGGAAUACAAAGAUUUUCGGCUGUUAAAUUUCAAACUUGAAAAAUGAUACACGACUUAACGAGGACAGGGAUCAGUAAAUGGAAAUACUAUUAUUACAUGCUUAUUGUUCUAUUCAUUUCCUUCAUGAAGAUGCAUAGUAGACCUUUUGUUCCAAUUUCUAUGUCAAUGAGUUUGUAAAUGUGCCUACAUCUUGUAUAAAUAGUGUAAUUUUCCACCGAAGCAGUUUGGAUGAACCCCCUCGCCCCUUGUUGGCUCCGCCCUUGAGUUGCUUAUCCUAAUGCUUUGUUACUAAGUAAUUUUUUAUACAUGAUCCUGCAUUUUAAUUUUUUGGAUGUGUCAAUCUAUGUUUUUUUUUAUAAUAAAACUAAAAACUAUCACUUCUUAGUUAGUAUUACAUUAACGUUCAGAAGUGUGUUGUGUUUUAGCUUUGAAGCUAGUAGACCUAAUUUAAGAGACGAGUUGUCUUUAAUAUUUUAUUUUCAACGCUUAGUUAUUCAAGCUUCAAGCUUCGAGUUCAUUUCUUAUGUGAAAAAAGUUGAAAAUAGUUUGGAUGUUUCUUUUGUGAAAGUAAGGCUAGACUGAUUGCAUUCAUCAAGAAUUUUAAGUUUAACUUUAGGAGUGAUUUGUUUGUUAAUUGAAUUUCUUUUAUAACAAUGUCUUCUUUUGUUAAGGUUGUCGUUUUUGCUCUUUGUUGAUUAUCAAAGAUCUUUCGAGAUAUAAUAGUGAUUCCAGAACAAAUCUUUGCUCAAGUAUGUCCAGGUCCCUACAGAGAGUAUACUGAUAUACCGUUGUUUCACGGAAAUCUGUCUAAAACUGAAUGCGGAGAUUUUGAGCGAAAAAUGCAGAAGAG
Molecule: non-coding RNA, 3561 nt
Organism: Solanum lycopersicum (tomato)
Lineage: Eukaryota; Viridiplantae; Streptophyta; Magnoliopsida; Solanales; Solanaceae
Source: RefSeq, a predicted model, not a curated record